UCAUAGACCUUUUCUCACCUUGAUCCCAAC
This 30-nucleotide small RNA is filed under the name Bombyx mori (domestic silkworm). RNAcentral's name for it is "ovarian small RNA-25920". The record is from RNAcentral. Lineage: Eukaryota; Metazoa; Arthropoda; Insecta; Lepidoptera; Bombycidae.